UACAGGGGUGCAAACGUUGCUCGGAAUCAUUGGGCGUAAAGCGCACGUAGGCGGUUCGUUAUGUCGGAUGUGAAAGCCCUUGGCUUAACCGAGGAAGUGCAUCCGAAACUGGCGAGCUAGAGUACUAAAGAGGAUCGCGGAAUUCCCGGUGUAGAGGUGAAAUUCGUAGAUAUCGGGAGGAACACCGGUGGCGAAGGCGGCGAUCUGGGUAGAUACUGACGCUGAGGUGCGAAAGCGUGGGAGCAACAGG
Molecule: ribosomal RNA, 250 nt
Filed under: uncultured bacterium
Lineage: Bacteria
Description: partial 16S ribosomal RNA
Rfam family: Bacterial small subunit ribosomal RNA
Source: RNAcentral